RNAcentral lists this unclassified non-coding RNA (329 nucleotides) under soil metagenome. Its description in RNAcentral is "partial contains 5.8S ribosomal RNA, internal transcribed spacer 2, and large subunit ribosomal RNA". The stretch from base 1 to 120 matches the Rfam family "5.8S ribosomal RNA", at positions 35 to 154 of the family's 154-position model. The record is from RNAcentral.
GAUGAAGAACGCAGUGAAAUGCGAUAAGUAGUGUGAAUUGCAGAAUUCAGUGAAUCAUCGAAUCUUUGAACGCACAUUGCGCCCCUUGGUAUCCCGAGGGGCAUGCCUGUUCGAGCGUCAUUUCACCUCUCAAGCCUGGCUUGGUGUUGGGCGACGUCCUCUUUGGGGACGCGCCUCGAAACGCUCGGCGGCGUGGCACCGGCUUUAAGCGUAGCAGAAUCUUUCGCUUUGGAAGUCGGGGCCCCGUCUGCCGGAAGACCUGCUCGCAAGGUUGACCUCGGAUCAGGCAGGGAUACCCGCUGAACUUAAGCAUAUCAAUAAGCGGAGGA